UCUCCGUAGGUGAACCUGCGGAGGGAUCAUUGAAGAGUUAGGGCCUCCGGCCCGACCUCCAACCCUUUGUACUUGAUACCAUGUUGCCUCGGGGGCGACCCUGCCGUCCGCGGUCUGGGGCCUCCGGUGGACCACUCAACCCUGCAUCUUUGCGUCUGAGUAAAUUUGUAAAUUAAACAAAACUUUCAACAACGGAUCUCUUGGUUCUG
RNAcentral lists this unclassified non-coding RNA (209 nucleotides) under plant metagenome. RNAcentral's name for it is "partial contains small subunit ribosomal RNA, internal transcribed spacer 1, and 5.8S ribosomal RNA". The record is from RNAcentral.